AGUGAACGCUGGCGGUAGGCCUAACACAUGCAAGUCGAACGGCAGCACAGUAAGAGCUUGCUCUUACGGGUGGCGAGUGGCGGACGGGUGAGGAAUACAUCGGAAUCUACUUUUUCGUGGGGGAUAACGUAGGGAAACUUACGCUAAUACCGCAUACGACCUACGGGUGAAAGCAGGGGAUCUUCGGACCUUGCGCGAUUGAAUGAGCCGAUGUCGGAUUAGCUAGUUGGCGGGGUAAAGGCCCACCAAGGCGACGAUCCGUAGCAGGUCUGAGAGGAUGAUCAGCCACAAUGGAACUGAGACACGGUCCAGAAUCCUAAGGGAGGCAGCAGUGGGGAAUAUUGGACAAUGGGCGCAAGGCUGAUCCAGCCAUACCGCGUGGGUGAAGAAGGCCUUCGGGUUGUAAAGCCCUUUUGUUGGGAAAGAAAAGCAGCAGGUUAAUACCCCGCUGUUCUGACGGUACCCAAAGAAUAAGCACCGGCUAACUUCGUG
RNAcentral lists this ribosomal RNA (492 nucleotides) under uncultured bacterium. RNAcentral describes it as "partial 16S ribosomal RNA". It matches the Rfam family "Bacterial small subunit ribosomal RNA", at positions 29 to 507 of the family's 1533-position model. The record is from RNAcentral.